GAGUGGUUAAAAGAUAGAACAGUCUAGUCAAGUGCCAUGUCUCUUAUUCUUGAUCAGCUAUAGCUCUGGGGUUUUUGCAGAUUUUUAAAUAAAACUCAGAGUUUCCUUGUAUGAUUCUCUCAGGUCUCUCUUUUGUGGUAUUUUUGGAUCCUUACCAAGGCAGUGAUGGUAUAUGCCUUCUCUCAAGAUAUGUAGUAUUUGUGGUAUAAAGCAUAAUGACAUUGCCUUCUCUCUCAUCCUACUCUAAUAAGGCUUUAAUAUCUGGAGCUCAUAGGUGGGAGAUAAAGUAUACAUACUUACAAGACAUUUAUUGCAUAGUCAAACCAUGGAUCCAAAGUAACAAAUCAAUAAGCCAAAUCAAGAUGUGCAUGUGUGGCGAAUGAAUGGUGUAUGGUGAUGAUGGUGAAAACAAUGGUGAAAACAAUGGUGGUGGAAGUCUAAUUCUACUUUUGCUCUUUUGAGGGGAUACAUACCUUCCUUGCUUUUUGAAACUUUAUGAGGAGAAUGAGAUGCUCUAUAUUUUUCUUUUCUCUCAGGUGGGUAUCUUGUACCCCUAAUUCUACUGUCGGACACUUGUCCAUUUUUACCUCUCGUCUCACUUUUCUUUUCUUUCGAGGUUCCGAGCACUUGCUCCUUUUUAUUUACUCGUAUAUUUUUUUUAUUAUUAUUAGAGCACUCAUCUCUUGAGAUAAUAUAGCAAGUGGUAGUAACAAGAUAACUUGAGCAUUUAUUUCACAAGGGGAAAACAGAAAUAUUUUUGGCUAUUCUUUCCCGGAUUAGGAGUAGAAUAUUUUUAGGUGGUUCUGGAGAUAGAAAUGAAUGGAUAUAUGUGGAUGGUACUUCCGGAGUAGAAGUAGCAUAUAUGAGUGAACGUGCA
Molecule: long non-coding RNA, 877 nt
Filed under: Sorghum bicolor (sorghum)
Lineage: Eukaryota; Viridiplantae; Streptophyta; Magnoliopsida; Poales; Poaceae
Description: long non-coding RNA (SBIC_LNC000604)
Source: RNAcentral